UUCGCAAUGCCCGAAAGGGUGACGAUGCGACGCCGCGUGAGCGAAGAAGGCCCUAGGGUUGUAAAGCUCUGUUGAGGGUUAUGAAAAAUAGAUGGGUUAAUACCCCAUUUAUUUGACAAAAGCCCAAAAGGAAGCCACGGCUAACUCUGUGCCAGCAGCCGCGGUAAUACAGAGGUGGCGAGCGUUGUUCGGUAUUAUUGGGCGUAAAGAGCACGUAGGUGGUUUUGUAAGUCAGGUGUGAAAGCCUUCUGUUCAAAGGAAGAACGGCAUCUGAAACUGCAGAUCUUGAGUGUAGGAGGGGAGAGUGGAACCUCUGGUGGAGCGGCGAAAUGCGUAGAUAUCAGAAGGAACGUCGGCGGCGAAAGCGACUCUCUGGCCUAUUACUGACACUGAGUGUGCGAAAGUUAGGGGAGCAAACGGGAUUAGAUACCCCGGUAGUCCUAACCGUAAACGAUGGGCACUAAGUAGAGGGGUUUU
Molecule: ribosomal RNA, 477 nt
Filed under: Candidatus Scalindua wagneri
Lineage: Bacteria; Pseudomonadati; Planctomycetota; Candidatus Brocadiia; Candidatus Brocadiales; Candidatus Scalinduaceae
Description: bacterial SSU rRNA
Rfam family: Bacterial small subunit ribosomal RNA
Source: RNAcentral